RNAcentral lists this ribosomal RNA (494 nucleotides) under uncultured bacterium. RNAcentral describes it as "partial 16S ribosomal RNA". It matches the Rfam family "Bacterial small subunit ribosomal RNA", at positions 28 to 507 of the family's 1533-position model. The record is from RNAcentral.
GACGAACGCUGGCGGCGUGCUUAACACAUGCAAGUCGAACGGUGAAGCGCCUUCCUUUUUGGUGGGUGUGGAUGAGUGGCGAACGGGUGAGUAACACGUGAGUAACCUGCCCCCUUCUUCUGGAUAACCGCAUGAAAGUGUGGCUAAUACGGGAUAUUCUGGGUCUGUCGCAUGAUGGGUCUGGGAAAGAUAUUGUUUCGGUGUGGGAUGGGCUCGCGGCCUAUCAGCUUGUUGGUGGGGUGAUGGCCUACCAAGGCGGUGACGGGUAGCCGGCCUGAGAGGGUGGACGGUCACACUGGGACUGAGACACGGCCCAGACUCCUACGGGAGGCAGCAGUGGAGAAUAGUGCACAGUGGGCGCAAGCCUGAUGCAGCGACGCCGCGUGAGGGAUGGAGGCCUUCGGGUUGUGAACCUCUUUCGCCAGUGAAGCAGGCCUGCCUCGUUUGUGGGUGGGUUGACGGUAGCUGGAGAAGAAGCGCCGGCUAACUACGUG